RNAcentral lists this ribosomal RNA (429 nucleotides) under uncultured bacterium. RNAcentral describes it as "bacterial SSU rRNA". It matches the Rfam family "Bacterial small subunit ribosomal RNA", at positions 355 to 776 of the family's 1533-position model. The record is from RNAcentral.
UAGGGAAUCUUCGGCAAUGGGGGCAACCCUGACCGAGCAACGCCGCGUGAGUGAAGCAGGUUUUCGGAUCGUAAAGCUCUGUUGUAAGAGAAGAACGUGUGUGAGAGUGGAAAGUUCACACAGUGACGGUAACUUACCAGAAAGGCACGGCUAACUACGUUCCAGCAGCCGCGGUAAUACGUAGGUCCCGAGCGUUGUCCGGAUUUAUUGGGCGUAAAGCGAGCGCAGGCGGUUUAAUAAGUCUGAAGUUAAAGGCAGUGGCUUAACCAUUGUUCGCUUUGGAAACUGUUAAACUUGAGUGCAGAAGGGGAGAGUGGAAUUCCAUGUGUAGCGGUGAAAUGCGUAGAUAUAUGGAGGAACACCGGUGGCGAAAGCGGCUCUCUGGUCUGUAACUGACGCUGAGGCUCGAAAGCGUGGGGAGCAAACAGG